Bombus impatiens (common eastern bumble bee) is the source of this 1184-nucleotide RNA transcript. RefSeq lists it as uncharacterized. The record is from RefSeq and is a predicted model, not a curated record. Lineage: Eukaryota; Metazoa; Arthropoda; Insecta; Hymenoptera; Apidae. The transcript has 3 exons.
CCAUGUUAUUCAGCACGGCUAGUACUAGAAUUGGUUCUGCCGAAAACAUAGAAGUAAUCAUUCCAAAACUAAAUCGUGAAAAAUCAAUAUUGAAGGAAAAAAGGUUCAUGUUUUGCGCAUGCGUGAUAUGCUAUGAAUGUCUCGCACAGAAACAGCGAUAUCUCUAUUCGCCUGCCUGUCUCGCAAGAACGAAAAUAUCGUUGUCUUUCAUGUUGAACUUUCAAUUCAAUCGUAUAUCAGUUCAAUUGAAAACAUGACAUCGCGCUGCACCAAGGGAACUGAAACUUGAAAAAUGGUGUACUACAGCUGAGUCUAGUAUUUACAACUCGAUCGGAGCGCCGCUAUCGGGAAUUGGGAUAACACACCGCGCCGCUAAAAGGAAUUAUCUCACCACGGGAAUUCCCAGAACACCUAUCUCCCUCGUUAGUAACGCUUUAAAGUGUAAAAAUCUAUCUGAUGCGUAAAACAGAGUAGUCCAUACAGUAGACUCAGAGUAUCAAAUUUUAUUAUAUUAUAUUUACAUAUAAUAUUAUAUUUCGUCUCUAUUCGUCGGGUCAUUGAGGCCUGACUGCCCGUUUUCAUCAUUUUUCUCAUUACAUAUUACAUUUACAUCGUAACAAAGUAAUUAAAAAGGUUUCGUCAAAAUCCACGAGGGCGUCAUACAUCGACAGAUUCACCGAUAAAGGAAUACGGAUCUGGCUAUUUCCGAUAUUUUCAACACAGUCAUAGAAAUGAGUACGCGUAUUGGCCGAAAGUGCCAUAUAUACAAAUAAAAUAAUACACAAUAAACGCAUAACGGUGGACGAUAGAGAGCAGUAAUUUCCUUGCUUCUGUGGCCCCUUGUGUCGUCAGUACUGCAUAGUACGUAUGUACAUAGGAAGAAAGAUAUGAGAUAGAUAAUGAUCGAUGUUGGAUCUAGGAAUUUGGGGGUAAUUUUUAAAUUCCCCGGUCGAAAAUUAUCAUAUAACAUAAAUAAAAGCUAUAGAUAAAAGUUGUGUCCUGAAACAAAAUUCAAUGCUUUUUUUUCAUUUUCUUCACUAUGAUAGAAAUGGAAUACAAGAGAGGGCAAGAAAUAAAAAGAAUGCGAAUAAUUAGAUGUUAUUGAGUACUAAUCAACUUAAUUGUUUUCUAUAUUGUAUUGAAUGAUCGAAAUAUACUUUUCUUCGCUUAUUUAACAAGAGUAU